This 253-nucleotide ribosomal RNA is filed under the name uncultured bacterium. RNAcentral's name for it is "partial 16S ribosomal RNA". It matches the Rfam family "Bacterial small subunit ribosomal RNA", at positions 524 to 776 of the family's 1533-position model. The record is from RNAcentral.
UACGGAGGGGACUAGCGUUGUUCGGAAUUACUGGGCGUAAAGCGCACGUAGGCGGAUUUGUAAGUCAGGGGUGAAAUCCCGGGGCUCAACCUCGGAACUGCCUUUGAUACUGCAAAUCUCGAGUCCGGAAGAGGUGAGUGGAAUUCCUAGUGUAGAGGUGAAAUUCGUAGAUAUUCGCAAGAACACCAGUGGCGAAGGCGGCUCACUGGCCCGGUACUGACGCUGAGGCACGAAAGCGUGGGGAGCAAACAGG